Molecule: long non-coding RNA, 206 nt
Filed under: Daucus carota (carrot)
Lineage: Eukaryota; Viridiplantae; Streptophyta; Magnoliopsida; Apiales; Apiaceae
Description: long non-coding RNA (DCAR_LNC004301)
Source: RNAcentral
AAACUCUGAUGACUCAAACUCUGAUGUUCCCUCAGACUCUGAAGAAAGUGAUGAUGAGAUGAUGCAGUUAGCAGCAUUGAUGGUGAAGAGCUUCAAGAAGUUGGCCUACAAAAAGUUCAACAAAGGCAAAAGUUUUUCAAGGAAAGACAGAAACUCUGACAGAGUUUAUGACAAGAAAAACUUUAAGAAGAAUGAGGGGAAAGAAG